RNAcentral lists this non-coding RNA (54 nucleotides) under unclassified sequences. RNAcentral's name for it is "DUF3800-VI RNA". It matches the Rfam family "DUF3800-VI RNA". From Rfam's summary of the family: Actinobacteria, Planctomycetes, Proteobacteria, Spirochaetes. Nearby to DUF3800 The record is from RNAcentral.
GAGUCGGGAGCGCUGUCGAUUACGGUGCGUUGGGCGAUUGUUCCACCCGGCUUA